Siniperca chuatsi (mandarin fish) is the source of this 1554-nucleotide long non-coding RNA. RefSeq lists it as uncharacterized. NCBI's taxonomy places the organism in Eukaryota, Metazoa, Chordata, Actinopteri, Centrarchiformes, Sinipercidae. The transcript is spliced from 3 exons. The record is from RefSeq and is a predicted model, not a curated record.
GUAGAACUGUCCGCUGGGAGUCACGCACAUGGCCAAGUCCCUGGGGAUGCGCUGCCUCGGCCUGGGAUUGUAGUAUGGCCCUGGAGGGAGAAAGAGAAGAGAAGUGAUGGACAGAAGAGAAGAAGUCUGUGCCAACAGCUGUGUCAAAACUCACUGUGCUGGAAGCUUUUAUCUGGAAUCCAAUUGGACGCCCAAUGGCAGUGAUUCAUGGACCCAAAAUAACACCCCGGAGUGUUUGUGUUUCCGACUGCUGCUUGCUGUCAGUCUGUCUGGCUGCCUGUCUGUCACCUGGCCUGGCUGACCUCAGGAGAAAGCUAGGUCACUCUGGUCCGCUAACCAGUCGUCCCUCAGGCUCGGCAGAAGCUCAGGGGUGACCAUGCCUUCGCAGUUGUGGACCCCAGUCUGCGGAACAAACUGCCCCACUAAAUCAGAUCUGCCCCCUCGCUCGUGUCUUUAAAAGCACAGCUCAAGGCCCACCUCUUUUCUUUGGCUUUUAAUUGUACUUAAAUUGCUAUAUUUUUAUCUUGCUCUAUGCCUGGGUUUUUUUAUUUUUAUGCAUAUGUAUUGUAAAGCACUUUGGUUAGCUCAUGUUGAUUUAAAUGUGCUAUAGAACUAAAUUUGACUUGACGUUUUUACUACAUGUGCAUUUACUGUAUAUCAGUUACAAUAGGUAAGCUUGAAGACAUUGCUGUCCACUGUUUUCCCAACACUUCCUCCCUGCAUAGUAUUUUCUCUUUCUUAACCUUCUGACCAACCCUUGGUGAUACUACCUCGUGUAAAAUUACUUUGCAUCACGAUAUCAUGUAGCCAUUACGGUGUCUGCAAACAAAACAGGGGCCAAACAUGAACAUGAAUCAAUGGCUGAUUAUUUUGGCGGGAUGGCGCUCGAUCAAUCUCAUUUUCAUUUUCAAACAUAUUCUUCCAAAUGAAUGUAGUUGAACUACCUCUUUAAGGGUAAAUCUCCAUCUAUUUGCUAGUGUCACACUUCUGCUGUGAAUGCUGAGUUUUUAGAUACGUUCAGCAUGAAAUCCAAUCUUACUUUCUCUGCAUUUCAGACCCUCUGUUAAGCUAAACUGACAGACCUCCAAGACCUAUUUCCCUACAAUCCUGACUUGAAGCUCCACACUUCUAAGACUCCAUCAUUUAUGUAAACUCUUAAAACAUGGUCACAUGCUGAAAGCUUUACAGUAAAUCUGUAUCUAAAUUUUUUUGUGCUUGCUGGCAUUUUCAGUUUGAUUAAUUCCUCCCUCUCUGAAAGCACUAUAGCGAUAGCAAUAGUAAAUGAACAACAAAGACAAGAGGGAUCUACUGCUGUAUUUAUUUGUGCACACUAUACUGGACUGACUAUAACUACUUAAUAAUAAUAAUAAUAAUAAUAAUAAAGAUAAAAUUGUUAACAUUUUGCCUCCACCUUCAUUUCAGUUUUGUCCUUGUUCCAGUGUAUUUGUUACGAACAGACCAACCGGAGACAAGGGUAAGGAUACUGAGAGUUUAUUAUACACACAGCAGGAAUAUGGUGGAGAGAAGAUACUGUCCUUUUCCUUACUGAUGGUA